UUCGGUCAAUUCAAGUAUUCA
RNAcentral lists this non-coding RNA (21 nucleotides) under Caenorhabditis elegans. Lineage: Eukaryota; Metazoa; Nematoda; Chromadorea; Rhabditida; Rhabditidae. The record is from RNAcentral.